This is a long non-coding RNA of Mus musculus (house mouse), 2528 nucleotides long. RefSeq annotates it as predicted gene, 32219. The record is from RefSeq and is a predicted model, not a curated record. The transcript is spliced from 3 exons. NCBI's taxonomy places the organism in Eukaryota, Metazoa, Chordata, Mammalia, Rodentia, Muridae.
AGCGGUCUUUGGCUUGAGGCACGAGUACCUUUCAAUUCUACUCUCCUCUUACAAAAAGGGAGAAUAACAAGACUCGGAGAACUAUUACCCACGUUAAAAACACAGCCGACUGGCAGAGAAGACAGCUCUAUCAGUGCAGAGCUUGCCUUCCAGGCACAAGGUCUUGGUUCGGGCUGUACUUCAGAUGACGCAGCUCCUCUCCGUGAGCUGUCCACCCUUCUCCCCCUCAGCCAUGACGAACAUUUUCCUUGGUAAGCCAGCCUUGGCCUCAGCAGAACUGUGACAUUAGUGUGGCUUGGCUGUGCUUCUGCCAGCUAAGCCUGAAUCUGCUUGCCUUUCCGUAAGACACGCCGGCUGGCACGGCUGGCACGGUGCUUCACCACAGCACCGCGGUGGCUUCAUGGGCCCUGUCAGCGUUUCUUCCCCUUGCCUCCAUGAUCUCCGUUAUUUGAAGUUGGGAACAGAAGUCUGUGGUCGAGUCAACACCAGCAGAGAUGUGGAAAGUAGGAACAGCUCUGGGCUUCUGGGACCCCUCACAACACCAUUCAGAACUCCGGAAAGUCUUCAGGGAGAGGACUCACUCAGGGAUAAAUUAGUUUAGCAGAGCUGAUAGGGUGGGAUGAGACCUAAUUACUCUCUCUCCCCGAUCUUGCAGCCCGCUUGGCAGUGGAGAGAAAGUCAAGUUUGCUGGGCCGUGUCAUCGGGACUUCCUUUGGCACCUACGUAGUACUGUCACAGACACUGGAACUGCAACGAGCGAUUGCAUUAGCUCUCAGCAACGUGUUUAUUUGUGACUGGCCUACUUAGAAAGACAACUGGGAUGGAAAAAGGAAUAUUUUAAGGGUAGAGCCCAAUGGUAUUGUGAAAGAGAAUCUCAAGCCUGAGGUCCAUGCCCUGGACAACCCUAGUCCACGUGAGCUCAUGUGUCUAUAUAAGGAAGAAUCUUGGCUCUAUCAGUGUGUGAAAGGCCUGUGGUGCCAUGAAGCUAAGAGCUCCACUCUCAACUCUCAGAGCCGGUGGACUGUCAGCUGACUCUGGCAUUGGGUCAAUAUUCAGUUGAACCAGUCAGGGUCCAGAUGAACCAGGACUCCUGCCCUGUGUUUCUACCAUUUUCUUAGCUUUACCUAAUAUUGUAUUUGCCCUCAGAGCAAUGUUCAGGUCCUCGAGGACUUGGCAUUCCACACCUCUUCUGGCUCCAGGAGAUGGAGGAGAGUUGACUCAAACCUUCCGCUCAAACACUCCAGCAAACCGGGACUUCUGUGUAACAUCAGUGUCCUCUUACCAUAUGUCCAAAGGGAGUGCAUGUCUUUCUCCUCCAGCCAACGAAACUUGGGGGCUCAAUUCUGACUGGACCAACUAAGAUCAUGUGACCAGCAUGUCCAGUUACUGCGACUGAGAGAUACCAUACGCGGAUUGGCCACAGCAUCUGUUCCUUACCCAUGUCUGGCUUAUUCAGAGUCUUAAAGUGGGUACAACUAUGCUUAGUAACUUCGGCCAUUCAUAACCCACCAUGGAGGUCUUGAGCUAUAGAUAAGAGGAAACCGAAGCCUGAGCAGGAAGAGAGCUGUCCCAACGAUGUCUAGAAAGUGACACAGUCAGAUUCGCAGCACACUGGUCUCAUCCAGAACUAUGCUUCACCACUGGCCCGGCUGCCUGCUGUUCCCCUGUGCUUGGACCCCAGGACUGAGUGGGACCAGCAAGUCUAUGACACCCACAAGGCUGACGCUCUGUAUGGAUGCUCUUCUCCUCUGACUUCUUACUGAACAGGGAUCAAGUUUAAUGCAGUUUUGGAUGUAAAUGCUUGCAGCUAUCAUUUCAAAGGGAGACUCCUGAUUUAAAAAAAAAAAGGCUUUGUCAAGUUCCGGGGGUACAGGAAGAUGACUCUCUUAAGGCUUGGGGGAGUUGAAAGAGAAUUUCACACUUGCUAAUCGGCCUGAUGCACAGGUCCUUCCUUAGGGCCUGUGAGGGUCCAGUGUGCCCCCCCCCCCAUACGAAAAUGGGUGUGCACGCUUCCCUCUCCUUCACCCAUCAGUGUGUUUAUGCUCAGUCUUCCUGCUCUUCGCUGUGCCUGGCUCGGGCUCCCGCACACCUGCAGGGAGCAGGAGGCAUUACUUUUCCCCGCCCCCACAGGAUUCCUGUGAACCCCAGGGUGGAAGCGAGGUCCUGAGGUCCUCAGGGGAAGAAGAGCAGAUAGUAAAUUGUAUUUUUCUUCACGGUACCUUGCACUUUCACGUGGUUGUCUCAGAGGAAACACAAGCAGAUCUCUGUGGGAUAGCUCUCCUGCCAGAAAGCUCUCAGGAGCACCCAGCCCUCCGUUAGAGGCGUCUCAGGAGAGGGUACGUCUCCUAUUUUAUUGAAACACUUCCCGAGGUAGAGUCUGAUUAUGUAUAGAUGAUCAUUUGUACAAGGUCCUGUCACUUUGGGGCCUGGCUGUUUCAUAUUUUCUUUGAGGAAAAUGUAUUUUAAACAUCUCCCCCCAACUUGGUUAAUAGUUGCUCUCCAUAUAAAGUCUGUGUGAGUGAGCAAGA